CUCGUUGUCUAAUAGAAGGAAGCGCACCAGUUCUUCAGGACAGACUACCGGCGCUCCUGGUGCGGGACACAGGAGGAGGUCACAAUGGCCCUCUCAGGAGGGACAGGUCGGUACAAUGAACAAUGUCUGGACUCAAUGCAGCCAGCGCUAAGUGCCCAGCCGGCCUAGGCGGACGCCUGCAUGGUGUGCCAGGCUGCCAGCUACUGCGUGUGGCCCGCACCGCCCGUUCCCUUCCACGGCCUCACUCGAGCCCCGCACACCUCUCUGUGCAGUCAGGCGUGUUGUUCUCACAGUGGAUCCCGCUGAAGCCUGCGGGGCAGGUGCACGUGUAGCUGUCCACGCAGUCCGUGCAGUUGGCCCCGUUGCGGCAGGGGUCACUGGCACACUCGUUGAUGUCCUCCUCACAGAAAGUGCCCCGGAAGCCGGGCAGGCAGUCGCAGAAGGCCGUGUUGAUGCCGUCUGUGCAGGAGCCCCCGUUGUGACACGGGUCUGGGAGAGGACGGAAGGGGCCUCCUCAGCACCCACCAGCUCCUCUUCAAAGACUCAUCUAGCCUGCCUGGGAGCUGCCUGUGUCCCGCAGACAUCCUGACCUCCCAUCCCAGCCCUCACCGGGCCCUGGCCAGCCUCACCUUGCCAGCCCGUGGGGCAGACACAGGAGAAGCUCUCAUAGUCCUCGGAUUGCCUGCACUCCCCGCCGUUUCUGCAGGGGCUGGGGGCACACGGGGCCAGCACCACCUCACACGUGGCACCUGCGGGAAGGAGACACACGUGACCCCGGGAGCCUCACCCAGAGGGAUCUCCCAAAUCGGCCACCGCCUGCUGGUCUUUCCGCCAUCAGAGUGCCGUCUGCUGGUCCCGCCGGGAGGCAAAUGUGCACCGAGACCCCUGAGCGCUCCCGGCUGUGCCAGGACCCUGACCCAGGGAGGAGUGGAGCACAGAUGGGGGGACGCUGAAGACAAGCUGCACAAAUGUCACGCUCAGAAGCCACCCCUCAUUCCCGGUUGGCAGCGGGGCACAGCCUAGGCCUCACCCCACCAGGCGUGCCCAGGAACAAGGACUGCACCAGGAGAGGCGGCCUCAGUCGGGUGGGCUCCACGACACUGCAGGGACCUGGGCCCACCCCGGACGCAAGCCCCCUCAUCUCUGGGUGACGAGGAAAGGCCCUGGCCUGAGACCGAGGCCUGAAACUAAUCCUGGGGCUCCGUGUCACAGGCAGCAAACGCCCAUCACGGGAGGCCAACAAACAAGGGCUGCGAUGGAGGGGACAGGCCCAGGCCCCCAGCACAUCCUGCGUGUCGGGGCACGGGGCACGGCCUGGAGACCUCCAGGGCCACGCAGGGUGUCUGGCAAAGGCUAUGUGGGAACCACGUGCACAGCCGAGGGCCUUUUUCUGCACAAGCCCAUGGCCGAGCUUCCUGUUUAUAGCCGUGGGGACUGCGUUAUCUUCCCUGUCCCCCAUUAUCUCCCUGGCCUGCUGGGGCGACUUUCCAGGGCCUCUCUUCCUAUUGGUUUCCACGGUGACCCGGGCAGGCAGGAACUGCGCCAGAGUUUCCGACAAUUGUGCGAAAGGAAGCAGGAAGCGGGCAGAUAGGAAGCGGGUCAGCACCGCCGCUCCUCCUGCCGGCCCGAUCGACGUGUCUGAAAGGGACAGGGGCGCCCAGCCGUGGAGGGAGGGUCCUCACUGACUGACACAGGAGAGAAAACCCAGGUCCUUAACUUCGGUCAAAGAAAACAGCGUUCUGGCCACAGGCUGCUGGAUGUCAUGGGAACCGCAGGCGUGGGACCUCCAGCCCGGCUGCCUGGCCCAGGCAGGCCCUCCCUGACCAGGCCCCGUGGCAGCACCCUCUGCCCGCUCCUGGGGAGCGCCAGGACCCCGGUGCUUGUGGACUCUUCUUUGUCUUUUCUAGAGGAGAUCAUUUCCUGUGAUCCCCUUGGCUGGGUUCAUAGCAGGGGCUGGACAGUUGGGGGAACAUCCCCCUCCCCGCUCAGCCCAAACAGAGGGCUCCUUGUUCCGCUCACACAAAGAGAGCCCGCCAUCAAAGGAAUCCCUCAGGUCCGGCUGGCGGGGGUGGGGAAGCCCGGCCCCCAGAGACCCCAGCAGGGUGGGCGCCGGGAGCACGGAGCCCAGUGACCCAGGCCCGGCCCUGCUAAGGAUUCACCUGCAUCUUACCUGUGUCUUGCGGCAGGCUUGCCAGGUAAAACACAUGCUUGCAUGAAAA
Long non-coding RNA from Homo sapiens (human), 2219 nucleotides. RefSeq lists it as uncharacterized. The record is from RefSeq and is a predicted model, not a curated record. The transcript is spliced from 2 exons. NCBI's taxonomy places the organism in Eukaryota, Metazoa, Chordata, Mammalia, Primates, Hominidae.